AAACCCUUAAGGUUAGGAAGGUCUGAAACGUGACGAAACUCGCUCGAUAAAGUGAAAGUUGGUUUUAUCCAAGGUCGAUUAAAGGUUGUUCGAUCAUAAACUUUUUAUAUCACGAUUUCGAAGAUAGAUGUCGGUAGACCGUCCAUAACCGGUUCGAUCCGCUGUAUACCGCGCAUGAAGCGGUGCGCAUUCCCAUUGACCAGUCUGUAGUCUGAGUCGUGUAUUCGGGCCAAUAGUAAUCGUGCGGUGCCUUUGAGAACACGGUACGGUCUCUCGUUAGUCUCGUCUCUCGUGGUGCGUUUUCACACGUCACGUCGGAAGCGAGAAGGGCAAACGAAGAAAAGAAGGGAACAACAACGAAAGUUACGUCGUGUCGGUUAAAGAGAUAAAAAAAAAUCGAAACAAAUUAAACGUCAGAAUCGUCGUGAGGGAUAAAAGUCCGUAACAAGUUCGGGCAAAAUUCCUUGCGUCUCGUAACUCGUCUAUCGCGUCUCUGUUUCCGUGCUAUCGUGUUCGAAAGUCGCAGAGAAGCUGCAACUCUUUUUCGGUACCAGGAUUCCGCAGCGGGAGCCGCGCAAGACGAGCAUCAUCAACGCGGCUACACCAACGGCCAAAGGGGCGGCAAACGAGGAGGGACGAGAGUGUCGGGUGAGGAACGGCGAAGUAAGAAAGAUAGAUCCACCUUUAACGGUGGACAGGAUCAUCCUUGUCGAAGACGUCCGUACAGGUCGUCGAGGAUCGGGGUUUGUCAUCGUGGGCGAGUAACAGCAGAGGGAAAAGGGUCGCCAUGCCGGCAGGUAUUGGCGCUUCGUACAGGUCGCUAGGCGACCUGGGCGAAGACGUGUACAAAAGCACGACGAUCGUCGACCAAACACAGACCACCGGACAAAGCGUCCUCGAGAGUGUCAAGAAGGCUUUCAGUUUCGCCUCGCCCAAGGUCGAGCUGAGGAAAAAGGACCCUCUGAUCGUGGACCGCCGUGAGAGCGUCUCGAUCGUCUCAAGGGAAAGAAACAGGAUGCCGACCGCCGCCACACCCGAGAAAUCAGCUCUUUUGGGCACGAUGCCCUCAGAUAGUAUGGAUGACAUCGAACUGAAAAAUAUUCAACUCCAAUUUCCACCGUUGAGAUGUCUAUCGAGAGAUGACAGUUCCGUGCGAGAGGAGAGGGUUGAAACCGACAAAGGAAGUAUUUUGGUGGCUGUGCAAGGGAAUCGAGCGAAACCUGCCAUUCUCACUUAUCACGACUUAGGCCUUAACUAUAUAUCGAGCUUCCAGGCGUUCUUCAAUUAUAUCGACAUGAGAGUUUUACUGGAGAAUUUCUGCGUUUAUCACGUGAAUGCACCUGGCCAAGAAGAAGGUGCACCCACGCUGCCUGAGGACUACGUCUAUCCGUCCAUGGACGAGCUGGCUGAACACCUGCUCUUCGUAUUGAGCCAUUUUGGCCUGAAAUCCGUAAUCGGUUUUGGAGUCGGUGCAGGGGCCAACAUACUAGCGAGAUUCGCGCUUGCUCAUCCCGAGAAGGUCAAUGCUCUGUGCUUGAUAAAUUGCGUGUCGACACAAGCUGGUUGGAUCGAAUGGGGAUAUCAGAAACUGAACGUUCGCCACUUGAGAUCGCAGGGGAUGACUCAAGGUGUAUUGGAUUAUCUGAUGUGGCAUCACUUUGGCAGGGGCACGGAGGAAAGGAAUCACGAUCUUGUACAAGUGUACAAGAAUUAUUUUGAGCGUCGCGUGAAUCCAACGAAUCUGGCAUUAUUAAUCGACAGCUACGUUCGUCGUACAGAUCUGAACAUCACGAGGGAAUUAGAUCCUACGCGUAAGAAGGAAGGUCUCACGCUUGGUGUACCUGUGAUGAAUAUCACAGGAGCUUUGAGCCCACAUGUCGACGAUACCGUCACGUUAAAUGGACGAUUAGAUCCGAUGAAUAGCUCUUGGAUGAAGAUUUCUGAUUGCGGAAUGGUACUGGAGGAGCAACCGGGCAAAGUAAGCGAGGCCUUUCGACUAUUUCUGCAGGGCGAAGGAUAUGUGGUGAGAUCCCCGCGGAAGCCCGUGACGCCGACAACACCCGAAGGUAAUUGUAAUUAGGAAUUGAAGGCCGCAAGGAGUCAAGCGCGCAGUUGGUCAGUUAGGCCACGUCUAUGUGUUAAUGGCACCAUUAUCACCGUUGAAAAUGGCUGACUACAGACUGGCUUCUCUCGAGGGAUUGAAUCAUGUUUGCAGUAAGAAAAUCGACUGGCCCACCGCGACUAUACACAUCACCGAGAAUCCCAUAUCGGAGGCAGUCGUUUGUUAAAUUUUUCUUGAAAAAAAUUACCAUUGAUUGUUUUCGAAUGACAAACCAUGCAAGAACUUAAAGA
RNAcentral lists this unclassified non-coding RNA (2352 nucleotides) under Apis dorsata (giant honeybee). RNAcentral describes it as "protein NDRG3, transcript variant X8". The record is from RNAcentral. Lineage: Eukaryota; Metazoa; Arthropoda; Insecta; Hymenoptera; Apidae.